This 490-nucleotide ribosomal RNA is filed under the name uncultured bacterium. RNAcentral describes it as "partial 16S ribosomal RNA". It matches the Rfam family "Bacterial small subunit ribosomal RNA", at positions 30 to 507 of the family's 1533-position model. The record is from RNAcentral.
AUUGAACGCUGGCGGCAUGCCUUACACAUGCAAGUCGAACGGCAGCAUGAUCUAGCUUGCUAGAUUGAUGGCGAGUGGCGAACGGGUGAGUAAUACAUCGGAACGUGCCCUGUAGUGGGGGAUAACUAGUCGAAAGAUUAGCUAAUACCGCAUACGACCUGAGGGUGAAAGUGGGGGACCGCAAGGCCUCAUGCUAUAGGAGCGGCCGAUGUCUGAUUAGCUAGUUGGUGAGGUAAAGGCUCACCAAGGCGACGAUCAGUAGCUGGUCUGAGAGGACGAUCAGCCACACUGGGACUGAGACACGGCCCAGACUCCUACGGGAGGCAGCAGUGGGGAAUUUUAGACAAUGGGCGAAAGCCUGAUCCAGCAAUGCCGCGUGUGUGAAGAAGGCCUUCGGGUUGUAAAGCACUUUUGUCCGGAAAGAAAUGGCUCUGGUUAAUACCUGGGGUCGAUGACGGUACCGGAAGAAUAAGGACCGGCUAACUACGUG